RNAcentral lists this ribosomal RNA (248 nucleotides) under uncultured bacterium. Its description in RNAcentral is "partial 16S ribosomal RNA". It matches the Rfam family "Bacterial small subunit ribosomal RNA", at positions 524 to 772 of the family's 1533-position model. The record is from RNAcentral.
UACGUAGGGGGCAAGCGUUGUCCGGAUUUAUUGGGCGUAAAGAGCGUGUAGGCGGUUAGGUAGGUCCGUUGUGAAAACUCGAGGCUCAACCUCGAGACGCCGAUGGAAACCAUCUGACUAGAGUCCGGAAGAGGAGAGUGGAAUUCCUGGUGUAGCAGUGAAAUGCGCAGAUAUCAGGAAGAACACCCGUGGCUAAGGCGGCUCUCUAGUACGUGACUGGACGCUGAGACGCGAAGCGUGGGAGCGAA